This 1176-nucleotide long non-coding RNA is filed under the name Sus scrofa (pig). Its description in RNAcentral is "lncRNA (ENSSSCG00035058460.1)". Lineage: Eukaryota; Metazoa; Chordata; Mammalia; Artiodactyla; Suidae. The record is from RNAcentral.
GGGAUCGAUCCUCACGGGUCCUAGUCAGAUUCAUUUCCGCUGAGCCACACAGGAACUCCCUCUCCCGUCCUUCUGUAUCACUAUAUCACCACCUCUGUCUCUGUCUCUGAAAUGGUCCCUUGCUGAGGUUCCUGUUGGUACCCAUGAGCCAGGAAGCAAAGGAAUCAGAGGCAACUCCAGUUUAAGGUGGGGCACCCAUGAAGACCACACUCAGCUACUCUAUGCCCUCCCACCACACACAGUCACAUAGAGAGACACCCGUGUGCCUGGCUCCCCUGCAGCCAUGUACCGGCACAGCCAAGCAAGUGGGAGCCCCCUCUAGACCCACUGCAGGAAACAAGUCCAACCCUGGGGCCCAGCCCUGGCUAAACAGAAGCUGGUCAGAAAGCCAGGGCCAGAAGAGAUACUGGGCCCUCCCACAUCUGCACAGUCCAGAGCCAGCACUAGAUGCUCCCAGCCACCCCGGGUGCCACAGUGUACCUGCUCCUCUCUUUCCAGAUUGGGAUCUGUGGCCGCACGGGCAGUGGGAAGUCCUCCUUCUCUCUCGCCUUCUUCCGCAUGGUGGACAUGUUCGAAGGACGCAUUAUCAUCGACGGCAUCGACAUUGCCAAACUGCCUCUGCACACCCUGCGCUCGCGCCUCUCCAUCAUCCUGCAGGACCCCGUCCUCUUCAGCGGCACCAUCCGGUGAGCUGCACCACCCCACAUCCCACCAGACCCCGCCCCACUCCUCCCGAUCUGGGGCCUGGAGAGGAGGGGUGGGCGAGGCCAGGAGCCUCCGUGGGCACUAGGUCUGGCGCUGGUUCUUCGGUGCUUCACCCUCAUGCCUUUCGCUUCCCUGUGAGGCCUGGACAGACCCUGGGAGGGGUCCCCCACCCCUCAGCCUGGGGUGCUUUCCUUCACCCACUGCCACCUUGCUGCCCCUCCCAGCCAAGCCCCCAAGUCAACCAGUUCUCUCUCACUGCACCCUUCACCAGCCUUAACCCUCUGCAUGUCCCCCGCGGAUGGAGCCAGGACACUGGUCCCCUCCCUGAGGGCUUUCUGUGUCACCCUCCAGAUUUAACCUGGACCCAGAGAAGAAGUGCUCUGACAGCACGCUGUGGGAGGCCCUGGAGAUAGCCCAGCUGAAGCUGGUGGUGAAGGCGCUGCCGGGGGGCCUCGGUAACUACUAGCUGAG